GGGAUGUGUGAAUAGAUGAGGGAAAAUAAUGUAGCUGGUAAUUAUUCUUACCUGUUUCUGAUCAGAAUAAUUUUUUCCCUUUCAGCAUUGUUUUUUUAGCCACUUCUACUAUUGUCUGAUGCCCUGUAGUUUGUGAUCUCUUUCUUGUGUUGAAGUUUGGCUUGGUAUAGGGUGACGAAGAACAGUUCUUUGUUGUGACCUUGCUGAGAAAGGACAUAGGAGAUUUAAACCUAUUUAAGGAGGAGGUUAUUGCCACCUGUCAGCUGGACUGGCAAGACAUCUUUAUUACCAAUUUCACCAUUAAGAAUAUUAGAUCUAUUAUUUUUUGCUGCACUUUCCUAAUCUUCCAAAAGUCCUCUAUAAAACGUCAGAAGAGACUCCUGAGUGGCUGCAAUGAUGACAUCCUGCAGCCACACAAUCACUCUUGCUGCUCCUUGAUACAGUUUGAGGCUUUGUUAAAGUCAAUGGAAAAGACUGCUUUUAAUCCUCCUCUGCUGUCACAGAAAGGAUUGGACAAUCUCUUGUUUUCAAAUGUCCUUUAUAGGUGGCAUACUUCUAGCCCUUAA
Molecule: long non-coding RNA, 566 nt
Filed under: Numida meleagris (helmeted guineafowl)
Lineage: Eukaryota; Metazoa; Chordata; Aves; Galliformes; Numididae
Description: lncRNA (ENSNMEG00000017826.1)
Source: RNAcentral